This 77-nucleotide ribosomal RNA is filed under the name Paratrygon ajereba. Lineage: Eukaryota; Metazoa; Chordata; Chondrichthyes; Myliobatiformes; Potamotrygonidae. The record is from RNAcentral.
CUCGGAAGCUAAGCAGACUCAGGCCUGGUUAGUACUUGGAUGGGAAACCGCCUGGGAAUACCAGGUGCAGUAGGCUU